Molecule: ribosomal RNA, 432 nt
Filed under: Triticum aestivum (bread wheat)
Lineage: Eukaryota; Viridiplantae; Streptophyta; Magnoliopsida; Poales; Poaceae
Description: partial small subunit ribosomal RNA
Source: RNAcentral
AUGUUUAAGAUAGAUCUUGCAAAGGCCUUUGACAUAAUUGAGUGGCAGUUUAUAGAGCUAGCUCUUGCUCGUAAAGGGUUGAAUGGUCAUUUCAUUAAUCUUAUACAUGCUUGCAUCUCUUCACCAUUCUCUGUUAUUAUUAAUGUUCAGUCUUACGGGAGAUUCAAAAGCUCUAGAGGUAUUAGGCAAGGAUGCCCUCUAUCACCUUCACUUUUUGUCCUUGCAGUGAAUGAACUCUCUCUCUCUCUCUCUCAAGCAUUACAAAAUAACCAAGUGUCAGGUAUAGCUCUUGGACCAUAAUGUCCGCCAAUUCAUUCCCUCAUGUUUGCUGACGACCUUUUGGUAUGUGGUAAGGCUAAUAUGUAGUAAGCUUCAGUUAUAGCGCAGGUUCUACAUCAUUUCUGUAAUCUCUCGGGUCAGAUCCCAAACUAG